RNAcentral lists this ribosomal RNA (565 nucleotides) under uncultured Sebacinales. RNAcentral describes it as "eukaryotic LSU rRNA". It matches the Rfam family "Eukaryotic large subunit ribosomal RNA", at positions 108 to 657 of the family's 3401-position model. The record is from RNAcentral. Lineage: Eukaryota; Fungi; Basidiomycota; Agaricomycetes; Sebacinales.
CUCAAUUUUGAAUCUGGUGUCUUUGACUCCCGAGUUGUAAUCUAGAGAAGUGUUUUCCGUGUCGGACCGUGCACAGUUCCCUGGAACGGGGCGUCAUAGAGGGUGAGAAUCCCGUAUAUGGCACGGACUGCCGAUGCUUUUGUGAUACACUCUCAACGAUCGAGUUGUUUGGGAAUGCAGCUCAAAAUGGGUGGUAAAUUCCAUCUAAAGCUAAAUAUUGGCGAGAGACCGAUAGCGAACCAGUACCGUGAGGGAAAGAUGAAAAGCACUUUGGAAAGAGAGUGAAACAGUACGUGAAAUUGUUGAAAGGGAAGCGUUUGAAGUCAGUCGUAUCUGGUGGGAUUCAGCCGAGCUUUUGCUCGGUGUACUUCUCGUCUGAUGGGUCAGCAUCAUUUUGACCGGGGGAGAAAGACAUGGGGAAUGUGGCUGUCUUCGGGCAGUGUUAUAGCCCCAUGUUGUAUGCCUCGGUUGGGAUUGAGGAAUGCAGCGCGCCUCAUGGCCAGGGGUUCGCCCUUUGACACGCGCUUAGGAUGCUGGCAUAAUGGCUUUAAGCGACCCGUCUUGA